CGACGGAACGGGAGGUAUUUCGUAAAAAAGGAACGACCUUCGAACGAUUCGAAGUAUCGAAAGGAGGAGACACUCAUCUCGUUAGUGUCCGCUCUACCGUCCAACAAGAUGCAUUUGUUCUCAAGCGACGUGUCGUUUCUUCUUUACACCGCCGGGACUGGUCUUCCAGAUGUGAAGCUGACGGAAAUACUUCUCGCAUGAACGAAUUGAAUUCGAGAAUUUCAGUGUCGUCUCAGAUGAUGCGAGCAUCGUCGAUCGAGUUAUUGAUCGUCGGCCUGUCGCUAUUGCGCUUCGUCGAUCCUAUUCACAACAGUAACGUUCAGAGAUCUUAUUCGGUGAGCUAUGACCCGUCUGUUCCUUCUAUUACGCAUUCGGAAUUGCAUAAUGUUCGGAAUGUUCGCGAAGGAUACGAUUCCUCGAGCAUCGACAAGCAUUUGCCACGCGCGAGCGAAGAGAAGGCUGUUGACAGUUUGGAUUUGUUGAGUUAUCCUGAAAGAAUAUCGAAAGAAACGGUAUUUCUGCCAAUACUCGCUAUACCGAUGGAAUAUCGUAGUUAUAGAAAUUAUGGGCUGAACGAUCGUUCGAAGAAGGAAGAUGAGAUAAAUUCCAAAGAGGAAGAUAAAGAGAGUAGCUCGAUCGAGGGAGAAAUUAUAGAAAAAAUGAAAAUUCUCGAUAAAUUUUUAUCCGAAGAUUCGAAUGCAAAGGAUUUUGAUGUAAAUGGAAUCGAGGAUAAUAUCAUCCCUGAAGAGUCGAAGAGAGUCGUCAGAGAGGUGAAGAAGCAAAAGCCAGGAUUCUUUUGGACUCUGGCAAAACUCACAUUUGAGAUGAUCAACGACACGAAAUCAGCGAUCAAGCAAAUCAGUGAUAUUAUCAACAACAGUAUAGCGCCAGAUUCGGCCACUCAGAGUACGAUGACGAAGGCGGCUUUGACGGCUCCACAAUCGACGAACAAUGAAACGAACGCGAGCAAUCUGAACGCAACAGAAACAACGACAGAAGCGUCUACGACUACCACGCAACCCACCUUGACCAGAGACGAUUUGCAAAAAUUAAUCAGACGAAACGUGUUGGGCCUCGUUAGACUUUUCAACAUUGAAUGGAAUGACGCCCUGAACCAAUCAGAAACGAACGUGAAAGAGUUCCAGAAGAAUCUAGGAAACCAGGUGGGACUUUAUCUUCGUGAUAAUCCAGAAGCGUACAAGGAUUUUUAAAGAAUUCUUCUCCACAACGAUCCUUAGUAUUCAUUCUCGUAGCACGUAGUUAGCAAAGACUGAAACACCCCACGCACUCGGAUAACUAGUGAAAGAGAAAGAACUCUUAGGGAGUUAAGGCGCGAAUUCGAGAAAAUGAUUGCGACGAAUAGAAAGCACGAUUGGCGGGUUUCGAUUGGUUGAUAUGAGGCGUGGGAUUACUUGAUUCGCUUAUAUGUGGAUCACGGAGACGAGUCAGCAACUGUGUGUGAUCAGUGCUCUUCUGUGCGAAUCGCGAAAGUCGGAUUUCUACAUUUCUAAACGAGGGUUGUAGAUAUAUAUAUAAA
RNAcentral lists this unclassified non-coding RNA (1537 nucleotides) under Apis dorsata (giant honeybee). RNAcentral describes it as "uncharacterized LOC102672862, transcript variant X1". The record is from RNAcentral. Lineage: Eukaryota; Metazoa; Arthropoda; Insecta; Hymenoptera; Apidae.